ACCUAGUUUAUUCAGCUCCCCUCCCCCACACUAGUUUGAGCACGUGAUCAACUAGGAGCGCGGUUCAUACAGCAGCAACAAAGCUUUGCAAGAAGAGUUGAGUGUUGCAGUCGUGUCCCCAGAAAAUCUAAUUCGUUUUUUUCUGCUUUGGACAUCGAAACUGUAUAAUACGAAUUGCAUCCAAUAAGUAAAUAAUAAUGAUGUUUCAUCACAAUUCCAUAUUAGCAUUUGGGAAUAAUGUUGCUUUCAGAACAAUUACAAUAUUUUAAGUCGUUUUUAAAAUAUGUGUGUGUGUGUAUAUACUGUAUAUAUAUACAGUAUGUAUAUACACACACAUGUAUAUAUGCUGUGCUCAUUUUAGGAGUACAUGACAUUGGUGUAAACAAGAGUUCAUAAAAUAUGUUGAUAUUGCUUGACAUUUACUAUGCCCCACUUCAAAACGGACCUCAGAGGAAAAGUGAAGGAGUUUUGGUUAUGAAGGGGCGGGGCUGUUUUCACACCCCAAAACGUCACAGUUACGUUGCAGGAAACGAGUUUCUACAGCUACCCUCCCCCACAUCACACUCGCUGACCAUCAAUUAGGAAACGCGCGCUUUGCUACCUGCACAAAAGGAAGGCGUUGAGAAGAGUGAGCGUACGAGUCAGCAUCAUCGAGAAAACCCCAGAAAGUGACAAAUACUUCAGAAUUAAAGCAGAUGGACAAUCCCACUGAAGAUGGUGAUUAUUCUGACUCAAGUCUUUUUGGAUCAGAUGAGGAAUACAAACCAACUAAGACAUCCUCUGAGUCGAGUGAUGACGAGGAGAUAUUCCAUCCAAAGGUAGAAAAAUUGUUCUUAUGAUACAUCCAGUGAAGACUCUACAAGUCAUCAGACAUAUGAAGCAGAGGAGCACAGUCAUGUCUGCAAUUCGUAAAGAAGCCCCAAAAAGGGAAAAGCAUCUCUCCAAAAGAGGGAAGACUGAAUUGGAUGGUAAGCUUUGGAUGAGGAA
Hippocampus zosterae (dwarf seahorse) is the source of this 987-nucleotide long non-coding RNA. RefSeq lists it as uncharacterized. The record is from RefSeq and is a predicted model, not a curated record. NCBI's taxonomy places the organism in Eukaryota, Metazoa, Chordata, Actinopteri, Syngnathiformes, Syngnathidae. The transcript has 3 exons.